Long non-coding RNA from Bactrocera latifrons, 2010 nucleotides. RefSeq lists it as uncharacterized. Lineage: Eukaryota; Metazoa; Arthropoda; Insecta; Diptera; Tephritidae. The record is from RefSeq and is a predicted model, not a curated record. The transcript is spliced from 3 exons.
UGUCGACAUUCCGUGCGACCGGCUGCGUUCAGGCAUCAAAUUGGGGAACUGUUCAGUCGCUGUAGAGCACGCAUACGAAUGACAACGCUUUGCGGAUAUGCGCGAGUCAAUCGGUGUCUGACUUAAAUGAAUUCUUGUGUUGAAAUUACGUACAGCAAUGCUGAUUGUAAAUUUACGAAAAAUGUAAAAUUUGAAUGAAAUUGUUAAAACACAGUGAAUUGUUGAAUAAUUUGAAUAAUUAUGUGAAAUAUAAGUGUAUGAAUUUAAAUGUUUAUCGUUAACGAGUCAAUUGUAACGAAAUUUUCGGCAUUUCAAACGUGUAAAUGUAUUUUAAGCGAAAUUUCCAAUUAUGGGUUAGAGCUACCUACCGAGGCAAAUGCCUAAGCGGCACAGACACGCGGUUCAAGUGGUAAAAGCGCGCUCACGCAGUUCCAAAGCCAACGGUGUGCAYCUAGCUGGACAGCGCGGUCGGGUCAAGCGCGCCAUACCGUUCAAGAGAGGCUGUGCCRAGAUUUCCAGCAGCGCAGCAGCUAAUGUGCGCAAUGCCUCAAGUGCGCGUUGCGCUUAUGGGGCGAACUUUUAAUACAURAGUUACGCCGAUUCAGAGUUUCGAAAAAAAUCCGAAAAAAUUUCAUUUAAAAAAAAAUUAKAAAAUUUGUGUUCAAAAGUGAAUUACGCCAAUAUUUUCCAAUACAAAAAUUUUAACUUGGAAAUUCCGAACAACAACAAAAACAAAAAAUGUUUGUGUAAAAUAAGUUCUACGUGUUGUUUAAACUAAGAAAUUCCGAACAACAACAACAAAAAUGUUUGUGUGAAAUAAAUUCUAUAUGUUAUGCUCUAUGUGGUACGCGRAGGCAAACGACGAAAAAUAAAAGCGUGCAUAAAUAAUUUGAAAGUGCACUACAACUCGAAAGUAAAAGGAAAAGCAAAAUGCAAGCAACAACAACAACAAGCUGAAUAAAUAUUUGCUAUUUGUGUGUACAAAAAAAAAAAAAUAGAAAAUAAAAGCGGGCGACGCGAUGCCAGCGAAAUUGUCACGCGUUAAGCGUCUUUGUGAAAAUGUGAAAAUUCGAAAGAUUCCGCCCAAGUGUCUGCUCGCCGUAGUGUUUUGUGCAAUUGUGUAAUCAUUUGCGAAGAUUGGCAGAAAAUUUUCAAAAAAAAAAAAAAAAAAAAAAAUUGGGAAAUAUAAAAAAUUGAUUUACAUAAAAAGCAAAAGUGGUUUUCUGUGGCCAGAAAAGUGCAAUAAAGUAGCAAACUCAAUUCGAGACUUAUUAACUACCGGCAUAACUAGCUGGCGGUGCGCCAGUCACGAGCGGCAGACUGCAGCGACGAAAGGGAAAAAAGUUACUUAUGAUACUCUGGCAUUCUUCCAUUUUCCAAACGGUGUUUUAACGUAAUACAUGCAGCUACAACAGCAAUAAACAACAACUACUUAGAUUACAAUCGUGUUGAACGUAAUAUAUAAUUGUGCUAAGGGUAGAAUCAGCCAAAGCGUAACAAACAAACAGUGCUUAUAGUGGCCUAAAGGCGCAUGCGCGCUAACAACAAUUGGCAAAGCCAACGUCUGAUGCCAAUGCGUUUGACCAAUAAAUUGCUCCACCGCUGUGUGAAUAUUAUUAUGGCGAGAAGAUCGACGUCUAUGCAAAGUGAGAAAAAAUGCAUUAUCAACGAGGAAGACGAAGAUGAAAAUCAGCGACAAUUAAAAUUAUAUUGUGUAAAAUAUUGCAACAAUAUGGUGACCUAAAUACGUGGUACACGAGAAAAAAAAGUAAAAGCCAUAAAUAAAUCAUUAUAAAUAUAUUUAACAAAAAAUAUAAAAAAUAACAACAAAAAUUAAAAAAAAAAAUAAUUGAAAUGAAAUUCGCAUGCUUAAAAUAAGCGACUUGAAAAAAGUGUAUUUUCCAAAAUUUCAGAGUCAGCAACAGUAAAUUUCCAGUUCAAGAAAUCGAGUUUCGAAAAAAGUAAAAGUUAAUUGCAUUGAUUUAUUUUGCAUACAAUCAAUAAAUUAAA